Molecule: ribosomal RNA, 1333 nt
Filed under: uncultured bacterium
Lineage: Bacteria
Description: bacterial SSU rRNA
Rfam family: Bacterial small subunit ribosomal RNA
Source: RNAcentral
GACGAACGCUGGCGGCGCGCCUAACACAUGCAAGUCGAACGAGCGAGAGAGAGCUUGCUUUCUCGAGCGAGUGGCGAACGGGUGAGUAACGCGUGAGGAACCUGCCUCAAAGAGGGGGGCAACAGUUGGAAACGACUGCUAAUACCGCAUAAGCCCACGGUGCCGCAUGGUACAGAGGGAAAAGGAGCAAUCCGCUUUGAGAUGGCCUCGCGUCCGAUUAGCUAGUUGGUGAGGUAAUGGCCCACCAAGGCGACGAUCGGUAGCCGGACUGAGAGGUUGAACGGCCACAUUGGGACUGAGACACGGCCCAGACUCCUACGGGAGGCAGCAGUGGGGAAUAUUGCACAAUGGGGGAAACCCUGAUGCAGCGACGCCGCUUGGAGGAAGAAGGUCUUCGGAUUGUAAACUCCUGUUGUUGGGGAAGAUAAUGACGGUACCCAACAAGGAAGUGACGGCUAACUACGUGCCAGCAGCCGCGGUAAAACGUAGGUCACUAGCGUUGUCCGGAAUUACUGGGUGUAAAGGGAGCGCAGGCGGGAAGACAAGUUGGAAGUGAUAUCUAUGGGCUCAACCCAUAAACUGCUUUCAAAACUGUUUUUCUUGAGUAGCGCAGAGGUAGGCGGAAUUCCCGGUGUAGCGGUGGAAUGCGUAGAUAUCGGGAGGAACACCAGUGGCGAAGGCGGCCUACUGGGCACCAACUGACGCUGAGGCUCGAAAGUGUGGGUAGCAAACAGGAUUAGAUACCCUGGUAGUCCACACCGUAAACGAUGAUUACUAGGUGUUGGAGGAUUGACCCCUUCAGUGCCGCAGUUAACACAAUAAGUAAUCCACCUGGGGAGUACGACCGCAAGGUUGAAACUCAAAGGAAUUGACGGGGGCCCGCACAAGCAGUGGAGUAUGUGGUUUAAUUCGACGCAACGCGAAGAACCUUACCAAGUCUUGACAUCCCUUGACAGACAUAGAAAUGUGUUUUCUCUUCGGAGCAAGGAGACAGGUGGUGCAUGGUUGUCGUCAGCUCGUGUCGUGAGAUGUUGGGUUAAGUCCCGCAACGAGCGCAACCCUUAUGGUCAGUUACUACGCAAGAGGACUCUGGCCAGACUGCCGUUGACAAAACGGAGGAAGGUGGGGAUGACGUCAAAUCAUCAUGCCCUUUAUGACUUGGGCUACACACGUACUACAAUGGCGUUAAACAAAGAGAAGCAAGACCGCGAGGUGGAGCAAAACUCAGAAACAACGUCCCAGUUCGGACUGCAGGCUGCAACUCGCCUGCACGAAGUCGGAAUUGCUAGUAAUCGUGGAUCAGCAUGCCACGGUGAAUACGUUCCCGGGCCUU